GUCUAUGGCCGUACCACCCUGAACACGCCCAAUCUCAUCUGAUCUCGGAAGCUAAGCAGGGACCGGCUUGGUUAGUACUUGGAUGGGAGACUGCUUGGGAAUACCGGGUGCUGUAGGCU
This 119-nucleotide ribosomal RNA is filed under the name Saimiri boliviensis boliviensis (Bolivian squirrel monkey). The record is from RNAcentral. Lineage: Eukaryota; Metazoa; Chordata; Mammalia; Primates; Cebidae.